RNAcentral lists this ribosomal RNA (1358 nucleotides) under uncultured bacterium. Its description in RNAcentral is "bacterial SSU rRNA". It matches the Rfam family "Bacterial small subunit ribosomal RNA", at positions 28 to 1381 of the family's 1533-position model. The record is from RNAcentral.
GAUGAACGCUAGCUACAGGCUUAACACAUGCAAGUCGAGGGGCAGCAUGGUCUUAGCUUGCUAAGACUGAUGGCGACCGGCGCACGGGUGAGUAACACGUAUCCAACCUGCCGUCUACUCUUGGACAGCCUUCUGAAAGGAAGAUUAAUACAAGAUGGCAUCAUGAGUCCGCAUGUUCACAUGAUUAAAGGUAUUCCGGUAGACGAUGGGGAUGCGUUCCAUUAGAUAGUAGGCGGGGUAACGGCCCACCUAGUCUUCGAUGGAUAGGGGUUCUGAGAGGAAGGUCCCCCACAUUGGAACUGAGACACGGUCCAAACUCCUACGGGAGGCAGCAGUGAGGAAUAUUGGUCAAUGGGCGAGAGCCUGAACCGGCCAAGUAGCGUGAAGGAUGACUGCCCUAUGGGUUGUAAACUUCUUUUAUAAAGGAAUAAAGUCGGGUAUGGAUACCCGUUUGCAUGUACUUUAUGAAUAAGGAUCGGCUGACUCCGUGCCAGCAGCCGCGGUAAUACGGAGGAUCCGAGCGUUAUCCGGAUUUAUUGGGUUUAAAGGGAGCGUAGAUGGAUGUUUAAGUCAGUUGUGAAAGUUUGCGGCUCAACCGUAAAAUUGCAGUUGAUACUGGAUAUCUUGAGUGCAGUUGAGGCAGGCGGAAUUCGUGGUGUAGCGGUGAAAUGCUUAGAUAUCACGAAGAACUCCGAUUGCGAAGGCAGCCUGCUAAGCUGCAACUGACAUUGAGGCUCGAAAGUGUGGGUAUCAAACAGGAUUAGAUACCCUGGUAGUCCACACGGUAAACGAUGAAUACUCGCUGUUUGCGAUAUACAGCAAGCGGCCAAGCGAAAGCGUUAAGUAUUCCACCUGGGGAGUACGCCGGCAACGGUGAAACUCAAAGGAAUUGACGGGGGCCCGCACAAGCGGAGGAACAUGUGGUUUAAUUCGAUGAUACGCGAGGAACCUUACCCGGGCUUAAAUUGCAGAUGAAUUACGGUGAAAGCCGUAAGCCGCAAGGCAUCUGUGAAGGUGCUGCAUGGUUGUCGUCAGCUCGUGCCGUGAGGUGUCGGCUUAAGUGCCAUAACGAGCGCAACCCUUGUUGUCAGUUACUAACAGGUUCCGCUGAGGACUCUGACAAGACUGCCAUCGUAAGAUGUGAGGAAGGUGGGGAUGACGUCAAAUCAGCACGGCCCUUACGUCCGGGGCUACACACGUGUUACAAUGGGGGGUACAGAGGGCCGCUACCACGCGAGUGGAUGCCAAUCCCAAAAACCUCUCUCAGUUCGGACUGGAGUCUGCAACCCGACUCCACGAAGCUGGAUUCGCUAGUAAUCGCGCAUCAGCCACGGCGCGGUGAAUACGUUCCCGGGCCU